AUUGAACGCUGGCGGCAUGCCUUACACAUGCAAGUCGAACGGUAACAAGGAGCUUGCUCCGCUGACGAGUGGCGAACGGGUGAGUAAUGUAUCGGAACGUACCAUAGAGUGGGGGAUAACUAUCCGAAAGGAUAGCUAAUACCGCAUAUUCUCUCCGGAGGAAAGCAGGGGACCGCAAGGCCUUGCGCUCUUUGAGCGGCCGAUAUCAGAUUAGGUAGUUGGUGGGGUAAAGGCUCACCAAGCCUGCGAUCUGUAGCUGGUCUGAGAGGACGACCAGCCACACUGGAACUGAGACACGGUCCAGACUCCUACGGGAGGCAGCAGUGGGGGAAUAUUGGACAAUGGGGGCGAACCCUGAUCCAGCCAUGCCGCGUGUGUGAAGAAGGCCUCGGUU
RNAcentral lists this ribosomal RNA (394 nucleotides) under uncultured bacterium. Its description in RNAcentral is "bacterial SSU rRNA". It matches the Rfam family "Bacterial small subunit ribosomal RNA", at positions 30 to 424 of the family's 1533-position model. The record is from RNAcentral.